CAGGACGAACGCUGGCGGCGUGCCUAACACAUGCAAGUCGAGCGAGAAGCCUUUCAAGACUCUUCGGAUGACUUUAAAGGUGGAAAGCGGCGGACGGGUGAGUAACGCGUGGGCAACCUGCCUUAUACAGGGGGAUAACACCGGGAAACCGAUGCUAAUACCGCAUAACACAUAGAUAUCGCAUGGUAUUUAUGUCAAAGGAGAAAUCCGGUAUAAGAUGGGCCCGCGUCCAAUUAGCUAGUUGGUGGGGUAGAGGCCUACCAAGGCGACGAUUGGUAGCCGAACUGAGAGGUUGAUCGGCCACAUUGGGACUGAGACACGGCCCAGACUCCUACGGGAGGCAGCAGUGGGGAAUAUUGCGCAAUGGGGGGAACCCUGACGCAGCAACGCCGCGUGAAGGAUGAAGGUCUUCGGAUCGUAAACUUCUUUGAUUGGGGAAGAAGCAGUGACGGUACCCAAAGAACAAGCCACGGCUAACUACGUGCCAGCAGCCGCGGUAAUACGUAGGUGGCAAGCGUUGUCCGGAAUAACUGGGUGUAAAGGGCGUGUAGGCGGGGAUACAAGUCAGAUGUGAAAAUCCGUGGCUCAACUGCGGAAACUGCAUCUGAAACUGUAUCUCUUGAG
This 624-nucleotide ribosomal RNA is filed under the name uncultured organism. RNAcentral's name for it is "bacterial SSU rRNA". It matches the Rfam family "Bacterial small subunit ribosomal RNA", at positions 25 to 646 of the family's 1533-position model. The record is from RNAcentral.